This 18-nucleotide ribosomal RNA is filed under the name Cochlodina fimbriata. Its description in RNAcentral is "partial 18S ribosomal RNA". Lineage: Eukaryota; Metazoa; Mollusca; Gastropoda; Stylommatophora; Clausiliidae. The record is from RNAcentral.
CCUGCGGAAGGAUCACUA